UGCUAGUCUUGGGUUAAACCAGGGCGAACAGCUCAGUAACACGUAGUUAACCUACCCUUAGAUUUGGAAUAAACCCGGGAAACUGGGCCUAAUGCUGGAUAGGUAAGAAUUCCUGGAACGGUUUCUUACUGAACUAAGGAUGGGACUGCGGCCCAUCAGGUUGUUGCGAAGGUAACGUCUUCGCAAGCCUAUAAUGGGUACGGGCCUUGAGAGAGGGAGCCCGGAGAUGGAUUCUGAGACAAGAAUCCAGAUUCUACGGAAUGCAGCAGUUGCGAAAAUUUCACAAUGCACGCAAGUGUGAUGAAGGGAUUCAGAGUGUCUUCUCUUACUGAGGAGGCUUUUGUUAAGGGUAGAUAUCUUAACGAAUAAGUGGUGGGUAAGACAGGUGCCAGCCGCCGCGGUAAUACCUGCGCCACGAGUGGUGACCACGUUUAUUGGGCUUAAAGCAUUCGUAGCCUGUUUGGUAAGUUUCUAAUGAAAUUUCACAGAUGACUGUGGAAAUUGUUAGAAAUACUACCAGACUUGAGACCGGGAGAGGCCGAGGGUAUUAUAGGGGUAGGGGUAAAAUCCUAUAAUCCCUAUAAGACCGCCUGUGGCGAAGGCGCUCGGCUAGAGCGGAUCUGACGGUGAGGGAUGAAAGCUAGGGGAGCAAAGCGGAUUAGAUACCCGCGUAGUCCUAGCUGUAAACGAUACCCACUAGACAUUGGCAGUCUUACGGGGGCUGUCAGAGUCGUAGGGAAACCGUUAAGUGGGUCGCCUGGGGAGUACGGUCGCAAGGCUGAAACUUAAGGGAAUUGGCGGGGGAGCACACAAGGGGUGGAGGCUGCGGUUUAAUUCGACUCAACGCGAGGAACCUUACCAGUGGCGACAGCAGAAUGAAGGUCAGGCUGAAGGUCUUACCAGACAAGCUGAGAGGAGCUGCAUGGCCGUCGUCAGUUCGUGCCGUGAGGUGUCAACUUAAGUGUUGUAACGAACAAGACCCGCACCCCAUGUUACUACGAUAUCCUUUUGGGUGUCGGUACUCAUGGGGGACCGCUGCUGAUAAAGUAGAGGAAGGGGCGGUCGACGGCAGGUCAGUAUGGUCUGAAUCCGCUGGGUAACACGCGGCCUACAAUGGUUGGUAUAAUGAGAUGCGACUCCGAAAGGAAGAGCUAAUCUCCAAAACCAAUCCUGGUCCGGAUCGAGGAUUGCAACCCAUCCUCGUGAAGACGAAAUCCCUAGUAGUCGCUGGUCAUUCAGCAGUUUAACGUUCGAAUGAACGUUAUUCUGGUGACUCAGC
This 1279-nucleotide ribosomal RNA is filed under the name uncultured archaeon. Its description in RNAcentral is "bacterial SSU rRNA". It matches the Rfam family "Archaeal small subunit ribosomal RNA", at positions 52 to 1316 of the family's 1478-position model. The record is from RNAcentral.